UUCNGGGUGGAGCAGCUCGGUAGCUCGCUGGGCUCAUAACCCAGAGGUCGCAGGUUCAAAUCCUGUCCCCGCUACCA
This 77-nucleotide transfer RNA is filed under the name Rhodococcus ruber BKS 20-38. RNAcentral describes it as "tRNA-Met". It matches the Rfam family "tRNA". From Rfam's summary of the family: Transfer RNA (tRNA) molecules are approximately 80 nucleotides in length. The record is from RNAcentral. Lineage: Bacteria; Bacillati; Actinomycetota; Actinomycetes; Mycobacteriales; Nocardiaceae.